This 254-nucleotide ribosomal RNA is filed under the name uncultured bacterium. RNAcentral's name for it is "partial 16S ribosomal RNA". It matches the Rfam family "Bacterial small subunit ribosomal RNA", at positions 524 to 776 of the family's 1533-position model. The record is from RNAcentral.
UACGAAGGGUGCAGGCGUUACUCAGAUUCACUGGGCGUAAAGGGUGCGUAGGUGGCUUGGUAAGUUUGAUGUGAAAUCUCCGGGCUUAACCCGGAAAUGGCAUUGAAUACUACUUUAGCUGGAGGUUUGGAGGGGGGACUGGAAUUCUCGGUGUAGCAGUGAAAUGCGUAGAUAUCGAGAGGAACACCAGUGGCGAAGGCGAGUCCCUGGACAACACCUGACACUGAGGCACGAAAGCUAGGGGAGCAAACAGG